AUGGGUCAAGGACAUGAAGCAGCCAUUCCUUACCUGUAUUGGGAUGCCUGGGCGGAGGAGGAGGUGGAGAGGCGCCGGCGGGAGGAAGAGGAGAAGGCGCGGAAGACGGAGGAGAACCGGCGGAGACGCGAGGCACACGAUGCGGUCAUGGACUCCAUCAUGGAGGACGACCCCAAGGCUGGGCGCAAGAAUUUUCUGAUUGACACGUCUGUCCCUCCAAUGCGAUACACCGAUAGUAUCUACCAAGAUGAAUUUGGGCUAGAAGACUCUGCAAACAUCCUCUCCGUCAGCAUAGUCUCAUCAGAUGUAGGCUUCCCAGUCAAUAUCUAUGGCCGUGGCAUUGCCGGAGACAGCAUUGACUACAAGUGCAUUUAUCUCUUUCACCUCAAUAGAGAUGAUUGCCAGCGUCUCAACGAGGAUGGAAUGCUGAUUUUAACUGGCCCAAGUCGAGGUCUAGUGCUGGUUGAUUUCAUCUAUCUAGAGAUAGAUCUUAAAAUCAGGGAAGAUGGAGUGUCUCCAGACAGGCCAUUUAGCAAGGGUCUAAUAAGUAUUGAUGGCCGAGUGCUGUCUAGAGAGGAAGAUGUCGUGGUUAGAAGUGAAACCAUUGAGAGCUGGCUCAGCACUACGGAAGUUAGAUUCGCAACUGUUCUCAGCACAGUCGAGUGCACCUUUGAAAUCAAGCUCAUUGAGGGGCUUUUUAAAGGAAAUAUAACAGUUGGCAUCGCCGAUAAAGCUCGCAAGCUGGACAUUGAACAAACAAUUGUGAUUCAUGAUAGCACAGCAGAUGGUGUGGUUACAAGUGAUGAAAGUGGAGUUAUCAAACUCCGGCGAAGUGUCAUUACUAUCUGUCUGGAAAGAACGGUGAUGUUUCACAUAAAUAAUGAGGCUGCUGGUGUUUGUGCUGAACGAACCUCUGAUUUCACUCCACGCCGCACUGGUGCAGAUGAAGAGAAAAUUACAUGUGGUUCUGGGAAGUUUGGAUUCAGGGUUGUCUGGGGAUAUAUUGAAGCAGUAAGAGAACUUGACCAGCAAAUUCAGUUAUCUGGUGAUGUUCAGUUUGACGACAUUGUUGUUGCCUGCGGCAGUGGUCGAACCGCGUCUUUGCUUUAG
This 1110-nucleotide ribosomal RNA is filed under the name Triticum aestivum (bread wheat). Its description in RNAcentral is "partial small subunit ribosomal RNA". Lineage: Eukaryota; Viridiplantae; Streptophyta; Magnoliopsida; Poales; Poaceae. The record is from RNAcentral.